Molecule: transfer RNA, 113 nt
Organism: Lipomyces starkeyi NRRL Y-11557
Lineage: Eukaryota; Fungi; Ascomycota; Lipomycetes; Lipomycetales; Lipomycetaceae
Rfam family: tRNA
About the family: Transfer RNA (tRNA) molecules are approximately 80 nucleotides in length. Their secondary structure includes four short double-helical elements and three loops (D, anti-codon, and T loops). Further hydrogen bonds mediate the characteristic L-shaped molecular structure. tRNAs have two regions of fundamental functional importance: the anti-codon, which is responsible for specific mRNA codon recognition, and the 3' end, to which the tRNAs corresponding amino acid is attached (by aminoacyl-tRNA synthetases). tRNAs cope with the degeneracy of the genetic code in two manners: having more than one tRNA (with a specific anti-codon) for a particular amino acid; and 'wobble' base-pairing, i.e. permitting non-standard base-pairing at the 3rd anti-codon position.
Source: Rfam
GGCAACUUGGCCGAGUUGGUCUAAGGCGUUCGACUCAAGAGUUUAAUCUCUUUCACGAUAAAUCGUGGUUUCGAAUCUCGAAAGGGGCGUGAGUUCGAAUCUCACAGUUGUCA